RNAcentral lists this transfer-messenger RNA (138 nucleotides) under Polynucleobacter sp. RNAcentral describes it as "partial transfer-messenger RNA". It matches the Rfam family "transfer-messenger RNA", at positions 236 to 374 of the family's 374-position model. From Rfam's summary of the family: Bacterial tmRNA, also known as 10Sa RNA or SsrA, is named for its dual tRNA and mRNA-like properties. Its role is to liberate the mRNA from a stalled ribosome. To accomplish this part of the tmRNA is used as a reading frame that ends in a translation stop signal. RNAcentral also lists the same sequence under 1 other name. Lineage: Bacteria; Pseudomonadati; Pseudomonadota; Betaproteobacteria; Burkholderiales; Burkholderiaceae. The record is from RNAcentral.
AAGAUAAUAGGAUGCUGGCAACCUUGGUAGCGUGCUGCUGCGCGAUCAGGGGAGCGAGACACAAAUCAGACGGCUAAGCAUGUAGAUCUACGCGAAAAAGGCUUGCGGACGGGGGUUCAAAUCCCCCCAGCUCCACCA